UACAGAAUCCUCGAGCGUUACCCGGAUUUAUUGGGCGUAAAGGGUCCGUAGGUGGUAAAGUAAGUUGAAAGUUAAAACUCAUCGGCUUAACCUUUGAGGUGCUUUCAAUACUGCUAUACUAGAGGACGUUAGAGGUUAACGGAACCGACGGAGUAGGGGUGAAAUCCGUUGAUAUCGUCGGGAACACCAAAAGCGAAGGCAGUUAACUAGGACGAUCCUGACACUGAGGGACGAAAGCGUGGGGA
RNAcentral lists this ribosomal RNA (245 nucleotides) under uncultured bacterium. Its description in RNAcentral is "partial 16S ribosomal RNA". It matches the Rfam family "Bacterial small subunit ribosomal RNA", at positions 524 to 767 of the family's 1533-position model. The record is from RNAcentral.